CGAAAAACAAGAUGGCGGUCCAAAACUACAUGAGUUUUGCGAAGCAGAAAAAAGGAAAAUAUUCGCUUUGAGAGAGAUAAUAGUACAAGGAAAAACUCUCAAAAAAAUUUGACAGGUUAGCAAAAUACAUUUAAUACAUAGAAAUUAGUUUAAAUACAAGUUUUUUAAAGAAUUAAUACCGAAACAACAGCGAAAAAAAACAUGUUCAUUGAGAAUAUAAAUUGUUCAGAAAAGUUUGCAACGAAAGACAAAUGAAUUUGCAGUCAACAAGCAC
This is a non-coding RNA of Paramuricea clavata, 274 nucleotides long. NCBI's taxonomy places the organism in Eukaryota, Metazoa, Cnidaria, Anthozoa, Malacalcyonacea, Plexauridae. The record is from the annotation of a GenBank genome assembly.